CUGGCAUUUCCCAGAAGGCCCAGCGCCGGGAAGGGGUUUGCAGCUGCUCCGUCAUCGUGCGGCCCGACGCGAGCCGCUCUCGCGUGCAGGCCCGUCUCGGUUCCUGGUCCGUGGCACGAGGGUUCACGCGAGGUCCCGGCCUCCGUCCCCGGACUAGGCCGCGACCCCGGGCGCCAUGAAGCAGGAGGGCUCGGCGCGGCGCCGCGGCGCGGACAAGGCGAAGCCACCGCCUGGCGGAGACGAACAAGAACCACCACCGCCCCCGGCUCCCCAGGAUGUGGAGAUGAAAGAAGAGGCGACAGCGGGUGGCGGGUCAACGGGGGAGGCAGACGGCAAGGCGACGGCAGCGGCGGCUGAGCACUCCCAGCGAGAAGUGGACACCGUCACCUUGGAGGACAUCAAAGAGCACGUGAAACAGCUGGAGAAGGCCGUUUCGGGCAAGGAGCCGAGAUUCGUGCUGAGGGCCCUGCGAAUGCUACCUUCCACGUCACGGCGCCUCAACCACUAUGUUUUGUAUAAGGCUGUGCAUGGCUUCUUCACCUCAAAUAAUGCCACUCGAGACUUCUUGCUAUCCUUCCUGGAAGAGCCCAUGGACACAGAAGCCGAUUUACAGUUCCGUCCCCGGACAGGAAAAGCUGCGUCGGCGCCGCUCCUGCCUGAGGUGGAAGCCUACCUCCAGCUCCUCACGGUCAUCUUCCUGAUGAACAGCAAGCGCUACAGAGAGGCACAGAAAAUCUCUGAUGACCUGAUGCAGAAGAUCAGUACUCAGAACCGCCGGGCCCUAGAUCUUGUGGCUGCAAAGUGUUAUUAUUAUCACGCCCGGGUCUAUGAGUUCUUGGACAAGCUGGAUGUGGUGCGCAGCUUCUUGCAUGCUCGGCUCCGGACAGCCACCCUUCGGCACGACGCAGACGGUCAGGCCACCCUGCUGAACCUCCUGCUGCGGAACUACCUACACUACAGCCUGUAUGACCAGGCAGAGAAGCUGGUGUCCAAGUCCGUGUUCCCUGAGCAGGCCAACAACAACGAGUGGGCAAGGUACCUCUACUACACAGGGCGAAUCAAAGCCAUCCAGCUGGAGUACUCAGAGGCCCGGAGAACCAUGACCAAUGCCCUUCGCAAGGCCCCUCAGCACACAGCGGUCGGCUUCAAACAGACGGUGCACAAGCUUCUUAUUGUGGUGGAGCUGUUGCUGGGGGAGAUCCCAGACCGGCUGCAGUUCCGACAGCCCUCCCUCAAGCGCUCGCUCACGCCCUACUUCCUUCUGACCCAAGCUGUCAGGACAGGAAACCUAGCCAAGUUCAACCAGGUCCUCGAUCAGUUUGGGGAGAAGUUUCAGGCAGAUGGAACCUACACCCUAAUUAUCCGACUGCGACACAACGUGAUCAAGACAGGUGUACGCAUGAUCAGCCUCUCCUAUUCCCGAAUCUCCCUGGCUGACAUCGCUCAGAAGCUGCAGCUGGAUAGCCCAGAAGAUGCAGAAUUCAUUGUUGCCAAGGCCAUCCGCGAUGGCGUCAUUGAGGCCAGCAUCAACCACGAGAAGGGUUAUGUCCAGUCCAAGGAGAUGAUCGACAUCUAUUCCACCCGAGAGCCCCAGCUGGCCUUCCACCAGCGCAUCUCCUUCUGCCUAGAUAUCCACAACAUGUCGGUCAAGGCCAUGAGGUUUCCUCCCAAAUCAUACAACAAGGACUUGGAAUCUGCAGAGGAGCGGCGGGAGCGAGAGCAGCAAGACUUGGAGUUUGCCAAGGAGAUGGCGGAAGAUGAUGAUGACAGCUUCCCUUGAGCUGGGGGUCUGGAGACGGGUGGGGUGAAUAGGAACUGGCUCUUUCUCUUUCCCCCUUGGGGUCCCCUGUCCAAGAAACUGGCCCCCUUUUCCCCACACACAGCUCACAGACUGCAUAUGUGCAGGGGUGAGGGCUGCUGGGAGCCGGCCACCCCCUCCCCACCCCAGGGCCCCUCCCCAGCUGGUGACUUAGCACCGGGUAAGCAGGAAGGUAGGCAGGUGGCCUCCCCAGGGCAGGGUCCUGGCUAGUGGUGUGGGCAGCAAGAAAGGAGGGUAGCCUUGUGCUCUCCUCUAGGGAGUAGGGGACUGGAAUUGGAACAUGUGUUGGGUUGUAUGUUUUCUGAAGCUUCAGUUACAAUUCGUAAACAAUAAAAAGGUCUCCGAAGA
Molecule: RNA transcript, 2167 nt
Organism: Galeopterus variegatus (Sunda flying lemur)
Lineage: Eukaryota; Metazoa; Chordata; Mammalia; Dermoptera; Cynocephalidae
Gene: PSMD3
Gene name: proteasome (prosome, macropain) 26S subunit, non-ATPase, 3
Exons: 13
Source: RefSeq, a predicted model, not a curated record